UUUAAUUAUGAGAUCCACCAAGCUUAUAUUA
This 31-nucleotide ribosomal RNA is filed under the name Gyrodactylus lavareti. RNAcentral's name for it is "partial 16S ribosomal RNA". The record is from RNAcentral. Lineage: Eukaryota; Metazoa; Platyhelminthes; Monogenea; Gyrodactylidea; Gyrodactylidae.